This 474-nucleotide ribosomal RNA is filed under the name uncultured Thiomonas sp. Its description in RNAcentral is "bacterial SSU rRNA". It matches the Rfam family "Bacterial small subunit ribosomal RNA", at positions 47 to 521 of the family's 1533-position model. Lineage: Bacteria; Pseudomonadati; Pseudomonadota; Betaproteobacteria; Burkholderiales. The record is from RNAcentral.
CUUUACCAUGCAGUCGAACGGCAGCGCGGGGCAACCUGGCGGCGAGUGGCGAACGGGUGAGUAAUACAUCGGAACGUGCCCUGUGAUGGGGGAUAACUACGCGAAAGCGUAGCUAAUACCGCAUACGACCCAAGGGUGAAAGUGGGGGAUCGCAAGACCUCACGUCAUAGGAGCGGCCGAUGGCGGAUUAGCUAGUUGGUGAGGUAAAGGCUUACCAAGGCGACGAUCCGUAGCUGGUCUGAGAGGACGACCAGCCACACUGGGACUGAGACACGGCCCAGACUCCUACGGGAGGCAGCAGUGGGGAAUCUUGGACAAUGGGGGCAACCCUGAUCCAGCAAUGCCGCGUGUGGGAUGAAGGCCUUCGGGUUGUAAACCACUUUUGGCGGGGGCGAAAUAUCGAGUGCUAAUACCAUUCGGUGAUGACGGUACCCGCAGAAUAAGCACCGGCUAACUACGUGCCAGCAGCACGGG